Molecule: long non-coding RNA, 1940 nt
Organism: Oncorhynchus kisutch (coho salmon)
Lineage: Eukaryota; Metazoa; Chordata; Actinopteri; Salmoniformes; Salmonidae
Exons: 3
Source: RefSeq, a predicted model, not a curated record
GCGAACGUUAGCUCAUUUUGGGGGCUGACAGCUUUACGAAAUGCUCUAUAACAAUGUAAUUCUAAAAUACCCCAAACGCACCUGUGUUUACUUACACACACUUUGUUAAAAUGCAUCAACUUAUUGAUAAGCGGGACAGUGGUGCAGCUCAAUUGGCUAACGUUAGCUGGCUUGUUAGCUAGUUAGCAUGCUAAGUAAGCGUUAACACGCUAGCUAGCGAAAUGUGUUUGCCUUGUCAGCUGACGAGACAGGACUGUUGACAUUGACACUGCCUAUCAAUGUACGUUACGAUUCAACAUAAAAAUGGCUGGAGGGGCAAACAGACUGAGCAGCGCAUCUGCAAGAGGAGACUUAGCAGAAGUCGAGAUGUUAUUACAGAACGGAGCAGAUGUUAAUGAAAACAAUGUAUUCGGCAGGACACCGUUACAGGUGAUGAAACUUGGUAACCCCGCCAUCGCCGAAGCGCUGCUGAGGGCGAACGCAAAUCCAAACGUGCGCGACCAUGUCAGAGGUCUCACCAUCACUCAUGACGCUGCAAGGGAUGGAUAUGCAGACACCUUACACGUACUGAUGGAUCAUGGCGCAGAUGUUAAUCUCCUGGACAAUGAUGGCAAUCUUCCAUUGCAUCUAGCCGCAAGAGAAGGCUAUCUUGAUGUGGUCCAGCUCCUUGUUGGUUGUACGAUGGAAGCCACAAGGUGCAACUCCAAAGGCCACACACCUUAUGAUCUGGCGACUAUGAACCAUAGAGUAUCCAUUGCGCAAUACAUUCAGGGGCACACUAAUUAAUUAAUAUAUAUCGGACAAUCCUGGCUGGGAUAGCGAGGUGGUAGGCCUGCAUAAGAACGAGGAAGAAAGUAGCAAAAACAUGUAGGUCCAUCUACCUCUCUCUCUGGUUACAAUGUAUUUGGAUGUUUUUCAGACAUGAUAGCCUCAAUUCUCAAUCAUAAAGGAGGACCCUAGCAUAAAGGAGGACCCUAGCAUGAAGGAGGACCCUAGCAUAAAGGAGGACCCUAGCAUGAAGGAGGACCCUAGCAUGAAGGAGGACCCUAGCAUAAAGGAGGACCCUAGCAUGAAGGUUUCCUCCAAACUUAAUAAGAAAACAUUCGUUUUUGACUCCAAUUUUCUCCAUCGCAGAACAAAUGUGUCGAGAUUUUUUGCCACUGGAAUGAUCAUUUGAAUCUAUUUAAUAUAUUAAAGCAUUUUUAGGCCGACAACAUUUCCCUAACAACAUCUCCAGCUGCUUUGUUUCUAUUUUCUUCUCAUGUUUUUCCGAUAUUUCCUAGUGGUACACGUAAGGUGGGGAUUUGUCUUUCAAAUUCAAUUCACUACCAACAUUUUAACUAUUUGAGAUGUGGGUUUGAUACUUCAACGACUUUUUAAAAUUAAAUGAGGAACAAUAUUUUAUUGUUUAACUUCAAGACCAUAGGCUGUAGGUAUUAGAAUAGAUGACCCUCUUCAUCCAAGGUAGCCUACUCUUGUGCGCAUAGCAAAUGUCUUAUUUUGUCCCGAUAGCCCAUUUUGUUAAUUAAACCCAUGCUAUUUUGAGUAAUAACCCAGUGACCUAGGCCUACCUUCAUUCUUCUUGUCCAGACCAUUGGUCAUAAAUUAUCAAUCUAAUGGUAGCCUGACUGUAUCGGCAAUUAUUUUCGAUUUUACGUGCACUUGUAAAUAAUCAAACAAAUAGAUUUUGUAAGGAACUGUGAAAGCACGCGUUUACUAAUAUUCACGUUUUAUUUUUUUUACCAAAGACAACAACUGUCUGCAGGUCUUACCUGAUUUUCUGUUUGGCUUUUAGAUAGCAAUUUGGUUGAAAUAUAAUGUACGUAGGGCUAUACUACCAGUAUGCCUCGUUUUACUGUAUUAUCUUCUAUUUGAAUAUGGCUAAUCGAGGAUUUUCACUGUUUGAUUUGUGAGACGAAUAAAUUCAUUUGUCCACUGAU